UCGCGCGGGCUGGCGCAUCCAAAACACUCCACACCAAAACACCGUCUAAAGCUAUGUGCGCAUUACCCAGUGUGAUCGCAUCUAACCAAAGACAACUCUCAACAACGGAUAUCUUGGCUCUUACAACGAUGAAGAACGCAGCGAAAUGCGAUACGUAGUGUGAAUUGCAGAAUUCCGUGAACCAUCGAAUCUUUGAACGCAUAUUGCGCUCGAGGCCUCGGCCAAGAGCACGCCUGCCUCAGAGUCGGUUUUCCCCCUCAACCCCCUAACCCCCUGCGAGUUAGGGGAUUGGACCUGGCAGUCUCAUGGCUCCGUCCAUGGGUCUGCUGAAGUGCAGAGAUCUAAUCAGGACCCGCCAAACGGGCAAACACUAGGUAGGUAGCCUUCGGGUUAUUCCUGUGUGUGUCUGAGGCCUGGCUAUGAUCAGCAGGAAAACUUUACUUAACCAUUCGACCUGAGUUCAGACGAGACUACCCGCCGAACUUAAGCAUAUCAAUAAGCGGAGGAAA
Molecule: ribosomal RNA, 509 nt
Filed under: Tetraselmis sp. MBTD-CMFRI-S028
Lineage: Eukaryota; Viridiplantae; Chlorophyta; Chlorodendrophyceae; Chlorodendrales; Chlorodendraceae
Also listed under: 1 other name
Description: eukaryotic LSU rRNA
Rfam family: 5.8S ribosomal RNA (bases 94-247)
Source: RNAcentral